GGAUUCGUGGUCUAGUGGCAUGACGUUGCCUUCACACGGCGAAGAUCGGGUGUUCGAAUCACCCCGGAUCCA
RNAcentral lists this transfer RNA (72 nucleotides) under Methanocalculaceae archaeon. RNAcentral's name for it is "tRNA-Val". It matches the Rfam family "tRNA". From Rfam's summary of the family: Transfer RNA (tRNA) molecules are approximately 80 nucleotides in length. Lineage: Archaea; Methanobacteriati; Methanobacteriota; Methanomicrobia; Methanomicrobiales; Methanocalculaceae. The record is from RNAcentral.